This 464-nucleotide ribosomal RNA is filed under the name uncultured bacterium. RNAcentral describes it as "bacterial SSU rRNA". It matches the Rfam family "Bacterial small subunit ribosomal RNA", at positions 338 to 795 of the family's 1533-position model. The record is from RNAcentral.
CCUANGGGUGGCUGCAGUCGAGAAUCUUCCUCAAUGGGCGAAAGCCUGAAGGAGCGACGCCGCGUGCAGGAUGAAGGUUUUCGGAUCGUAAACUGCUUUUGUUAGGAAAGAAUACUUCACCGGAAAUACCGAUGAAAUUGACGGUACCUAACGAAUAAGCCACGGCCAACUCCGUGCCAGCAGCCGCGGUAAUACGGGGGUGGCAAGCGUUACUCGGAAUUAUUGGGUGUAAAGGGCAAGUAGGCGGCCCAUUAAGUGAGGGGUGAAAUCCUGCGGCUCAACCGCAGAAAUGCCUUUCAAACUAAUGGGCUUGAGGCCGAUAGGGGGAAACGGAAUUAGCAGUGUAAGGGUGAAAUCUGUAGAUAUUGCUAAGAACACCAGCAGCGAAGGCGGUUUCCUAGAUCGGAUCUGACGCUAAAUUGCGAAAGCUAGGGGAGCAAACAGGAUUAGAUACCCUGNUANUC